GUAGGUGGCAAGCGUUGUCCGGAAUUAUUGGGCGUAAAGCGCGCGCAGGCGGUUCUUUAAGUCUGAUGUGAAAGCCCACGGCUCAACCGUGGAGGGUCAUUGGAAACUGGAGAACUUGAGUACAGAAGAGGAAAGCGGAAUUCCACGUGUAGCGGUGAAAUGCGUAGAGAUGUGGAGGAAUACCAGUGGCGAAGGCGGCUUUCUGGUCUGUAACUGACGCUGAGGCGCGAAAGCGUGGGGAGCAAACAGGAUUAGAUACCCUGGUAGUCCACGCCGUAAACGAUGAGUGCUAAGUGUUAGGGGGGUUUCCGCCCCCCUUAGUGCUGCAGCUGACGCAUUAAGCACUCCGCCCUGGGAGUACGGCCGCAAGGCUG
Molecule: ribosomal RNA, 374 nt
Filed under: uncultured organism
Description: partial 16S ribosomal RNA
Rfam family: Bacterial small subunit ribosomal RNA
Source: RNAcentral